Molecule: long non-coding RNA, 251 nt
Filed under: Trifolium pratense (red clover)
Lineage: Eukaryota; Viridiplantae; Streptophyta; Magnoliopsida; Fabales; Fabaceae
Description: long non-coding RNA (TPRA_LNC008383)
Source: RNAcentral
AAUCAAAUAAUUACUACAAUCCAAACUAACACUCAUAAUAUUACAAUCCAAAGUAACACUCAAAAUAUAAUGUAUAUUAAAAACAAACAAACAAAACAAAAUAUAGUGUACAUGUAAGGACUCAAAUUUAAAUAAACAUUAUAUAUAACAAUAUUUGAACAUAGUUCAAUUAUUUAAUAAAAUCUUCCUUAUCAUCAAAUGCUUCUUUUUUUCACAUUAAUCUUCAAACCAUAUCUCAUGUCUAGGACAAC